This 453-nucleotide ribosomal RNA is filed under the name uncultured Porphyromonadaceae bacterium. RNAcentral describes it as "partial 16S ribosomal RNA". It matches the Rfam family "Bacterial small subunit ribosomal RNA", at positions 341 to 792 of the family's 1533-position model. Lineage: Bacteria; Pseudomonadati; Bacteroidota; Bacteroidia; Bacteroidales; Porphyromonadaceae. The record is from RNAcentral.
ACGGAAGGCAGCAGUGAGGAAUAUUGGUCAAUGGGCGGAAGCCCGAACCAGCCAAGUCGCGUGAAGGAUGAAGGUAUUAUGUAUUGUAAACUUCUUUAGCCAGGGGGCAAUAAGGCGUACGCGUACGCCGAUGAGAGUACCUGGAGAAUAAGGAUCGGCUAACUCCGUGCCAGCAGCCGCGGUAAUACGGAGGAUCCGAGCGUUAUCCGGAUUUAUUGGGUUUAAAGGGUGCGCAGGCGGCUUUUUAAGUCAGUGGUUAAAUCGUGACGCUCAACGUCAUCACGCCAUUGAUACUGGAGAGCUUGAUUGCGGUCGAGGUUUGCGGAAUUCGUCGUGUAGCGGUGAAAUGCAUAGAUAUGACGAAGAACACCGAUUGCGUAGGCAGCAGACCAGGCCGUAAAUGACGCUCAUGCACGAAAGUGCGGGGAUCGAACAGGAUUAGAUACCCUGGUA